Molecule: long non-coding RNA, 819 nt
Filed under: Trifolium pratense (red clover)
Lineage: Eukaryota; Viridiplantae; Streptophyta; Magnoliopsida; Fabales; Fabaceae
Description: long non-coding RNA (TPRA_LNC011560)
Source: RNAcentral
CGAAAAGUUAUAUUGCACACGACAUGAAUAUAUAUAUCAGUUAAAUAAUAUAAGAUACUAGUAUAUAGUUUUGCGUUUGAGAGGAUUCGAAGAGGGGAAUGGCCGAAAAGUUGAUUCUCCUCAUAAAAAGUUUCAUAUAUCGAGUCCAGGUUCCCUCCAUUUAGUGUAUCAUCCAUUUAGCCUAUUAAUUGCAUGGAUUAGUGACAUGUGUAAAAAAUAAAUCUAAGGGCUGGGAUCAAAACUUUACAAAAAUGCAUCUUCUAUGUGAUUUCUCAGUUUUCCCUUCUCCCAUAACCCAACUAUCUCUUUCUCUUAUUUCCGCCGCCGCCGUCGUCCAUCCCAGCGCCGCCUGUAUGAUGGUAUUGUUCUCUGUUUCACUUUACUUGGGGCAAAUUGACAACAACCAUAGAAUCAAACUAAGCAAAUACAACCCAACUAUUGUGGCCUAACAAAAUUAAAUUUCCCAGAAGAAGUGUUAUAAGCUUAGCAAUUACAUCCUUUAACUUCAUAUUCAUCUUUCUAUCAAUUUUUUUUUUUCUUUCACACAUUCAACAUCGAGAUUAUGAAUUCUUCCAUGUUUUCUUCACACCCAUCUUUUAUGAAUUAUUUUAUGCCUAGAAUCAACAUCGCUGCUUAGAAAACAAAUAGACAAAGGGUAAGCUUCGCCGGAAAACUUCUGUCUGUCGUAGAUCUGAUGUUGUCGCGGUUCCACGAGCUAGCCACCACCUUUUGUUUCAGAUCUCACCUUCCACCUAACACCCAUCACAGUGGUUGUUUCCGCCAUUAUUGUCGUUACCCAACACCACCACCCGUCGCUAU